This 458-nucleotide ribosomal RNA is filed under the name uncultured bacterium. Its description in RNAcentral is "partial 16S ribosomal RNA". It matches the Rfam family "Bacterial small subunit ribosomal RNA", at positions 28 to 507 of the family's 1533-position model. The record is from RNAcentral.
GAUCAACGCUGGCGGCGUGCAUGAGACAUGCAAGUCGAACGAAGGAUCGGGCUUGCUCGAUCCUUAGUGGCGGACGGCUGAGUAACGCGUAGGUGACCUACCCCGAAGUGGGGAAUAACUGCCCGAAAGGGUGGCUAAUACCGCAUGUGGUCGCACGUUCAUUCGUGCGAGUAAAGCCGCAAGGCGCUUCGGGAGGGGCCUGCGUCCGAUUAGCUCGUUGGUGGGGUAAUGGCUUACCAAGGCGACGAUCGGUAGGUGGUCUGAGAGGACGAUCACCCAGACUGGGACUGAGACACGGCCCAGACUCCUACGGGAGGCAGCAGUCGGGAAUUUUGCUCAAUGGGGGAAACCCUGAAGCGGCAACGCCGCGUGAGGGAUGAAGGCCUUCGGGUUGUAAACCUCUUUUGUCAGGGACGAUGAUGACGGUACCUGGCGAAUAAGCCACGGCUAACUACGUG